Solanum lycopersicum (tomato) is the source of this 696-nucleotide long non-coding RNA. RefSeq lists it as uncharacterized. The record is from RefSeq and is a predicted model, not a curated record. Lineage: Eukaryota; Viridiplantae; Streptophyta; Magnoliopsida; Solanales; Solanaceae.
UGAAUUUAUUCAUCUUGAAUUUUUGCAAUAUCAAUUCAUGUGAUAUUUUCUUUAUCUUUUUAAACAAAGGUGAUUUUAUUGGAAUAUAUACUGCAAUGAUGGUUCCAUAGAGGAUCAUUUUAUUUAAAAAGAAGUUCAAUACAAUACAAAGGUAUGUUAUAUGAAAGCAAUAUCCUCUGAGGUGAAACGAAAAAAUAUCCCAAAAUCUAUUAGGGACAGCUGGAAGCCUCUUUACGAUACUAAUGAUUUUAAAGAUAAAUCUACAAAAUGUUCAAAUAAUCGAGAAUUGAGAAGUGUGGUGAAGGAUCUGGUCCCUCACGCCGUAUUGGAGGCUCCCGGACUCACCGAGAACAUGCAAGACAAAUGGCAAUUGUACUUGGACGGCUACCUCAUCCACACAAACUUUUGAAAAGGACACAUACAAAAGGAAACGAUGAGUUUGUGGAUCUGAAGUCUAAGAGCACAUAUGAAUGACAUUGGUUGCAAGGGGAUCUCAAAGACCAUUGUAUAGGUGAUAUCAAUUCUACCUUUAUUCAAUUUUUUAUGUAAUGCAAAGAAUAGAAAGUAAAUUACCUUACAAGAGAUUAAUUUUUCCGUGUCAAAACAUAAGAAGAAUUUUUGUAGAAUGUGAUGUAAUGACUUUUAAUGCCAUUAACAUCUAGUAUGAGAUAUACAAAUUAAUUCUUCACUUUGAAA